AACAUCGCGCACCUGCGGGAACCUGCGGAGGGAUCAUUAUUGAAUUAAUGUAGAGUUGGUUGUAGCUGGCCCUAUUAACUUGGGGCAUGUGCACACCUUCUCUUUCAUCCAUACACACCUGUGCACCUGUGAGGCAGAUUUUUUUUUUUUUGGGGGGGGACUUUAUUGAACCCCCUCUCUGCCUACUCAAUUCACAUAAACUCAAUUUAUUUUAAAAUGAAUGUAAUAGAUGUAACGCAU
Molecule: unclassified non-coding RNA, 240 nt
Filed under: soil metagenome
Description: partial contains 5.8S ribosomal RNA, internal transcribed spacer 2, and large subunit ribosomal RNA
Source: RNAcentral